GUUGGAUCCGUUUUAAGGGAGCGAAUUUCGGGGCUCUGAUUGACACUCUGGUCCCUAACCUGCUGCUGCUCCUCUUGGCUCGGUGGUGGCCGUGGUAGCGUUGGCGUUGGCCGGGUGGUUCGUCAAUGGCGGUGCUAACAGCUAAGUGAAAACCAUGGCCAUCUCUCUCCGACGUGAUCUCCUUUGUUCACCUCUCUCUGAUCUCGUUUUCAGUGGUUUUUCUCAUUGAUGAUCUGGGAGAUUGGAAGUUUUUGGCAUUUCAGCUGUUUGGGUUUGGACAGCUAUCUGGUCCAUCUGGUUCAGGGAAGGAUUGAUGUACUCCAUUGAAUUAUGAUGUCCCUCAAAAGCAUUGUGCGUGAGCUGAGGGAAAUGAAGGGUGGAAUUGGAAGCAUGUCAAGACGAGGGGUUGAAGGGAAGCAUUGGCAUGGCAGGGCAAGGUCGCAUAUUGCACCCGAUGAAACACCACCUGAAUCUGAACCAAUUCAACAGGGCCAGUGGGCAAAUCUGCCACCAGAAUUGCUCUUGGAUAUCAUUAGGAGGGUAGAAGAGAGUGAGAUCUCUUGGCCUGCUCGUGCUGUUGUUGUUUCUUGUGCUUUGGUUUGUAGGUUGUGGAGGGAAAUCACAAAGGAAGUUGUUAGAACUCCUGAGCAAUGUGGGAGGCUAACAUUUCCCAUCUCGUUGAAGCAGCCGGGUCCUCGUGAGUCUCCCAUACAGUGCUUUAUUAAGAGAGAUACUGCAACUUCCACUUAUCUAUUGUACUGUGGUCUGGUGCCUUGUAAGUCAUGCUACCCUCUCUUUUAUUUUAUCUUUUCAAUGAUGGCAUUGGCAAUUUAGACUUUUUGCUAUUCAUGCCAUUUUUGCUAAGUUAUUCAUAUAUAUGCCUUAUAAGAAAUGUAUAAGAACGUUUUUCUGCAAUUAUUUGUCUGUCUGGGCACUUGCUGAUAUCUAUGGCUGCUGGAAUUUACAUGUGAUUGUUCUUAUGCACCUCCUGUAUUGAUUGACAUUUCAAUAAUUCUUUUGGAUUGAAAAUUUGGGGAACUCAAUGUACCAUUUAUUUAAAUAUAAAUAUAUAUUAAUUUUUCAUCAUUUUUAAUGGUUUGACAGCUGAGAAUGAGCGUGAUAAAUUGCUAUUAGCUGCCAGAAAGGUCAGAAGAGCAACAUGCACAGACUUCAUUAUAUCUUUGGUCGAAGAUGAUUUUUCUCGAGCCAGCAACACAUAUGUUGGUAAACUGAGGUCUAAUUUUCUAGGAACCAAGUUCACCAUGUUUGAUUGCCAACCUACAUGUGAAGUGCCAGUACAACCAGCUAGCCAGACACAUCGAAGAUUCCAUUCUAGGCAGGUGUCUCCAAAAUUACCUGCAUGUAAUUACAGUAUAGGCACCAUCACCUAUGAGCUCAAUGUUCUCCGCACGAGAGGGCCAAGGAGAAUGCAUUGCGUCAUGCAUUCAAUUCCCAUCUCUUCCAUUGAGGAGGGGGGCUCCGCCCCAACGCCAACAUCCUUCCCAGAGACUUUUGAUGAUAGAUUAUCUCUCUCAGCAGGUCCAAAAGGGAAGGAACCAGUCUUGAAUGUCAGUUCUGGAAGCCCGUCACAGUCUCCAGUAAUAGUCCAUGGCUCUAGAGAGCCCCUAGUUCUUAAAAACAAGGCCCCCAGAUGGCAUGAACAGCUACAGUGCUGGUGCCUGAAUUUCAGAGGGCGUGUUACUGUUGCUUCCGUUAAGAAUUUUCAACUUGUGGCUGCUAUUGAGCCAUCCCACAAUGUUCCAGCUGAAGAGCAAGAGAAGGUGAUCUUGCAGUUUGGAAAAAUUGGAAAAGACAUCUUCACAAUGGAUUAUCGCUACCCCCUUUCUGCCUUCCAAGCCUUUGCCAUCUGCCUCAGCAGCUUUGACACCAAACCAGCCUGUGAAUGAUAAAUGUAGUGCCUGAAUAUAUCUACCAUAGUUUGCGGAAUUGCUUCCUCCAGUUUUGAAAUGCAAGUGCAGUCUAUGUGUAGCUCUUCAUGCAUGAGCAUUCACAACUGAUCUUAGCUGCAUAAUCCUUACUUUUUCUUAUCAUGGAAUUUGACUUGUAUUUUGUUUCAUCAUCUUAACGCUAAU
This 2093-nucleotide unclassified non-coding RNA is filed under the name Hevea brasiliensis (rubber tree). Lineage: Eukaryota; Viridiplantae; Streptophyta; Magnoliopsida; Malpighiales; Euphorbiaceae. The record is from RNAcentral.